CCUGGAUAAACAUAAACAGAAAGAACAGGCCACAUGGUAUGCAAAAUGGUCUAAAAAAUGUGGUCCAUUUAAGAAUGUAAAGGGGUUAUCACUUUAAACCAAAAGAAUAAUAAGGGCCCAACUUUAAAUAACUAUUGGGCCAAUUCACUGAAGCCCAUCAACUAGCCCAUAUUUCUAGCCAUUAAUUCUUCCAAGAGUUCCAAUGGUUAACCAAUAUCUUCAUCAACCUGUUUAAGGGGAUGAGAUCAAUUUACAAGAAAUCAACAAAAAUACCAAUAGGGGGCUGUGAAUGUCGAUUUCUUCUCCUGCCAAAUAAAAACAAGUUAAAAAUCUGACUGAAAAAUUCAUUUCUAUGCCAACCCGCCACCAUCAUAUCAUGUCUCAAUCAGAUUAAUGCUAACCCAUUGGACAAACGUGAGAACCCUUAGUCUAUUACUGGCUGCUUCUUGCUAAUGCCGACGAUUGCUCUAGCGGCCUUGUUUGGAGGUCUGGAAUGCAGUGCUACCUCGAGAAAAGUACUAACAGACCAUGAAAUGCUUCACCUACCUCGACGGUUGUUAAUUGCUUUUUACUAUCUGACCUUGCAACAAAUGAGGGUGAAGGGAGAUUGGGAUUUCUCAAAGGUGUUUGCCUCUCCCGUUCACCCAAUGAUUCAUCCUUUAACUUCCAAAUCAACAACCCUUGUGUGUGUGUAUGUUUACAUCCGAUACAUAUGCAUAUAAAGAGAGAUGGAUGUAUAGCAUGAAUUCCAGUGGAUCUUUCAAUCCCUCCGUCCGGAUCUGGAGUCGCUUCUUCCUCUCUUCUUGCUCUCUAGUUAUAUAUAUCUUGUCGGUGGCAACUGCUACUGUGGUUACCAGGCUGGUCCUGUGAUUUUCAAGGCUCGAGACGAGCUUGGUAAAGUUGGCUCCCCC
RNAcentral lists this long non-coding RNA (911 nucleotides) under Olea europaea (common olive). RNAcentral describes it as "long non-coding RNA (OEUR_LNC014162)". The record is from RNAcentral. Lineage: Eukaryota; Viridiplantae; Streptophyta; Magnoliopsida; Lamiales; Oleaceae.